Chenopodium quinoa (quinoa) is the source of this 1049-nucleotide long non-coding RNA. RefSeq lists it as uncharacterized. The record is from RefSeq and is a predicted model, not a curated record. NCBI's taxonomy places the organism in Eukaryota, Viridiplantae, Streptophyta, Magnoliopsida, Caryophyllales, Amaranthaceae. The transcript is spliced from 2 exons.
UUUCUUUCUCUGUCCCGUUUCAAUUUUCUUUUCGUCCUCAUUUUCUUUUUCAUUUUUUCUUUUGCCUCUAAUUUUCGAAUAAUUAUGGUGUGGGCUGGUGGUCGUCAAUAACGAAUUUGUGUGGGCUGGUGGCGUCAACACAUGAUUAAUUAGGGCGUCACAACCGAUUAAUUAUGGUGUUUAUGGUCAAAUUCGACCAUAAAAAUUCCAGAUCUGGAGUUUUUAUGUUUGAAUUUAACCAUAUAAUCCCAAUUUCGAGGUUUUGGAGGUGGAAUUGCAGAAUGUAGGAAAUGAAUCAACAAUUGCAACAAGCAACACAAAAAUGCCUAGAAAUUUUGGUUGAGAUGCAAGAGUACGAAAGAAUAAAAGCACUUAAGAUACAGGUGGUUGACUCUAAUUCUAUGAACAAGGUUGAUAAUAUUUCAAAUCUGGUUGUGCAAGAUGAAGAAGAAAUCGAGGUGCUAGAUGAUGAAUUAGAUUUAGCUUUGUCUUAUCCAUUAAUUGAUGCAACCCAAGCAAUUAAACAAAAUGAACAGAAGAUCCGAGCUAUACAACAUAUGUCUGUGAGAAAAUUAGACUUGGUGGUUCAUGAUAUAUCUUUUCCUAGUUAUUUUAAUUGUUUGCAUAUGGAAGCAACCACACUAAAAAUUGGAAUUGGUGGUAAAAUCAGGAGAGGUGGAAACAAUGAUCUUCGGGAGAAUAUAUUUUCAUAUUUUGUUCGUUUGAUUUGGAUAAUUUCUUGGUUCAAUAAAACAAAAGAGGGGGAGAAUGAUGCGGAUCAAGUAUCAAGAAUUUAAUAGUCUAGAUAUAUUUUCAUUAGGAUUUAUUUAUUCGUAUUCAUAUGAUUUACUUAAGAUAAUAUCUAUCUUUUUAUAGGAUAUUAUAAGAGAUUAUACGAUUUUAUUUUAUCUUUUAGGUUUGUUUAUCCUAUUAGGUAUGGGAUUCUAUGCCUACAAAUAUUUUUUUUGUUAAUGAGAAUUUAGAGUGAUUAAGUUUAUGAAAACAUGAAAAUUGUGAGUUAGGUCAAGUGAAUCGAAUUGAUUUCAAAA